UACGUAGGGUGCAAGCGUUGUCCGGAUUCAUUGGGUUUAAAGGGAGCGUAGGUGGCCUUAUAAGUCAGUGGUGAAAUCCUGUUGCUUAACAACAGAAUUGCCAUUGAUACUGUAGGGCUUGAGUACAGAUGCCGUUGGCGGAAUAUGACAUGUAGUGGUGAAAUACAUAGAGAUGUCAUAGAACACCGAUUGCGAAGGCAGCUGACGAAACUGUAACUGACACUGAGGCUCGAAAGUGCGGGGAUCAAACAGG
Molecule: ribosomal RNA, 253 nt
Filed under: uncultured bacterium
Lineage: Bacteria
Description: partial 16S ribosomal RNA
Rfam family: Bacterial small subunit ribosomal RNA
Source: RNAcentral